CUCGGAUGAGACGGGAUUCUUUCCAAGCAGGCAGAUCGGGAGGAAGCAGGCUGCCCGAGGAUCUGUCACCGCGGACGCAGGAGGCUCUCCGCUCGGCGCUCAGAGUCCAGGGCCGCGCCGGUGCAGGCGUUGGGAGAGGAGGAUGCUCACCUCCGCCCGCAGAGCGUCUGCGGGCCCUGACACUGCGCGGACUCCGGCUCCCGCGGCAGCCCCUGUUGUGCCCGCGCCGCGGGAGCGCGCCCUGUCGUACCUGCCUCCAGCCUCUCCGGGAAGUGCAGGAAACGCGCCCUAAACUCCACUACUUCUCGCCCGCCUCCUCCCCUUCUCGGCUCCCCGCCCCGGACCUCGCAGCCGCCGGCGUGUAG
RNAcentral lists this long non-coding RNA (365 nucleotides) under Capra hircus (goat). RNAcentral describes it as "lncRNA (ENSCHIG00000002570.1)". The record is from RNAcentral. Lineage: Eukaryota; Metazoa; Chordata; Mammalia; Artiodactyla; Bovidae.